GCGGACGGGUGAGUAAUGCCUAGGAAUCUGCCUGGUAGUGGGGGAUAACGUUCGGAAACGGACGCUAAUACCGCAUACGUCCUACGGGAGAAAGCAGGGGACCUUCGGGCCUUGCGCUAUCAGAUGAGCCUAGGUCGGAUUAGCUAGUUGGUGAGGUAAUGGCUCACCAAGGCGACGAUCCGUAACUGGUCUGAGAGGAUGAUCAGUCACACUGGAACUGAGACACGGUCCAGACUCCUACGGGAGGCAGCAGUGGGGAAUAUUGGACAAUGGGCGAAAGCCUGAUCCAGCCAUGCCGCGUGUGUGAAGAAGGUCUUCGGAUUGUAAAGCACUUUAAGUUGGGAGGAAGGGUUGUAGAUUAAUACUCUGCAAUUUUGACGUUACCGACAGAAUAAGCACCGGCUAACUCUGUGCCAGCAGCCGCGGUAAUACAGAGGGUGCAAGCGUUAAUCGGAAUUACUGGGCGUAAAGCGCGCGUAGGUGGUUUGUUAAGUUGGAUGUGAAAUCCCCGGGCUCAACCUGGGAACUGCAUUCAAAACUGACUGACUAGAGUAUGGUAGAGGGUGGUGGAAUUUCCUGU
RNAcentral lists this ribosomal RNA (580 nucleotides) under Pseudomonas sp. BACT-21. Its description in RNAcentral is "bacterial SSU rRNA". It matches the Rfam family "Bacterial small subunit ribosomal RNA", at positions 98 to 674 of the family's 1533-position model. Lineage: Bacteria; Pseudomonadati; Pseudomonadota; Gammaproteobacteria; Pseudomonadales; Pseudomonadaceae. The record is from RNAcentral.